Molecule: long non-coding RNA, 270 nt
Filed under: Elaeis guineensis (African oil palm)
Lineage: Eukaryota; Viridiplantae; Streptophyta; Magnoliopsida; Arecales; Arecaceae
Description: long non-coding RNA (EGUI_LNC055344)
Source: RNAcentral
UUUAAAACUAAACAAGUCAAUAACUUUAAUAGUUAAAACUAUCGAGUUGAAACCCAAACCCUAGAAUCACCUUGCUGAUGUCAAUCAAAACAAAACAAGCAUGCAAAGGGAUAGAAUUUUUUUACUUUUAUCAAAAAGAUAAUGUGGCACAUUGGUGAUCUCCAUGAGACUCCAAAGUAGAAGCCCUCCAACAGUGAUCCAUACAGAAGUUGGCUAAGGUCUUUCCUAACCGGUGCGCUACUGCAGCCUUGUCUUUUUAAGAACACUACC